CUCGUAGGCGGCCAACUAAGUCCGACGUGAAAUCCCCAGGCUCAACCUGGGAACUGCGUCGGAUACUGGAUGGCUUGAAUUCGGGAGAGGGAUGCAGAAUUCCAGGUGUAGCGGUGAAAUGCGUAGAUAUCUGGAGGAAUACCGGUGGCGAAGGCGGCAUCCUGGACCGACAUUGACGCUGAGGAGCGAAAGCUAGGGGAGCAAACGGGAUUAGAUACCCCGGUAGUCCUAGCCCUAAACGAUGAAUGCUUGGUGUGGCGGGUAUCGAUCCCUGCCGUGCCGAAGCUAACGCAUUAAGCAUUCCGCCUGGGGAGUACGGUCGCAAGGCUGAA
This 332-nucleotide ribosomal RNA is filed under the name uncultured Acidobacteriota bacterium. RNAcentral describes it as "bacterial SSU rRNA". It matches the Rfam family "Bacterial small subunit ribosomal RNA", at positions 568 to 898 of the family's 1533-position model. Lineage: Bacteria; Pseudomonadati; Acidobacteriota. The record is from RNAcentral.